CUUAGACAAGGUCAGCCUGAGCCUGCUUUGGGCAUACCCUGGGGAAGAUAUGGAUUCCUGCAAUGUUUUGGACUGUGAGUACAUCAGGAUGAAGAGUCUGUGUUGGUGUUUGUGGUGUACAGGCUUCUGAUUCAGGCUCCCCUUGAAUACAUUAAGGCCACUAUAAAGUUUCCUAGAGCUUUCUCCAAGAUGAAUCACACCAACCCUCCCAGCUUCUUUUCAUUAAAGAAGAGGUGCUCCAGCCUUCUGAUCACCCUCCUGGCCCUCCUCUGGACUCACUCUAACAGCUACUGACCAGUUCAUGUUCAGAGCAGCUUUCAAAGGUACAGAAAUCCUGUUUGUGUCAAUUUAUGAAUGAAAAAUCAACUUUCGGUUUGCAAUUUUCUUCCAAAGGUAAGGGACCUUAUUUGGAAAAUUCUCAGAAGAGGUGCCUGAGACAGUCGAGAUGAAUUUUCUCUUGAAAAUGUCGGAAUAACUCCCUGGAGUGAGUCUAAGCUGUAAAGUGAGCCUUCAUGGGCUCUAAAUCCUUGAGUCCUAUGUUUGGUGACAAAAAGGACUGUGGUGGUGUGGUCACUCUCUGCCCCUGCUCCAUGGGUCCCUCCCAUCCUUCCCAAACUGUUCCCAUGUGUGCUUCUCACAGGCUGCAGCUCUUCAAGCAGUGCUCCAGCAUGGCUCCAUAACACAAGGCCAAUCCUUCAGGCACUGCUCCAGCACUGCUCCCCAUGAGUGGCAGCUCCCCAGCCCUCCUGCCCCACCAGGGGAUCCUCCUCAUGGGCUGCAGCUCCAGCCUUGUCUGCUCCUGUGAG
RNAcentral lists this long non-coding RNA (806 nucleotides) under Gallus gallus (chicken). RNAcentral describes it as "lncRNA (ENSGALG00010010318.1)". Lineage: Eukaryota; Metazoa; Chordata; Aves; Galliformes; Phasianidae. The record is from RNAcentral.